ACGGGUGUAGCUCAGUUGGUAGAGCAGUGGUCUCCAAAACCAAAGGUCGUAAGUUCGAGCCUUACCUCCCGUG
This 73-nucleotide transfer RNA is filed under the name Roseivirga sp. Its description in RNAcentral is "tRNA-Trp". It matches the Rfam family "tRNA". From Rfam's summary of the family: Transfer RNA (tRNA) molecules are approximately 80 nucleotides in length. Their secondary structure includes four short double-helical elements and three loops (D, anti-codon, and T loops). The record is from RNAcentral. Lineage: Bacteria; Pseudomonadati; Bacteroidota; Cytophagia; Cytophagales; Roseivirgaceae.